UGUUAUCUGCCCAGUGAAAAUUUUAAACGGCCGCAGUACCUUGACUGUGCAAAGGUAGCAUAAUCACUUGACUUUUAAUUGGAGCCUAGUAUGAAAGAGAGAACGUAGACAACUUGUCUCAUUAACAAUAUUUUAAAAUUGCUGUAGGAGUGAAAAUACUCCUAAUAAUUAAAAAUAGACGAGAAGACCCUUAGAAUUUUAAAAAUAUAACUGAAAUAUCUGUUAAGAUUUUUUGUUGGGGCAACAAUAUUUCAAAAUAAAAUAAAUAUACAAGUGAGUAGAUAAGUCGAUUUAAUAAUUAUAGAAAAAUUACCUAAGGGAUAACAGCAUAAUUUUAAUUAAUAAGUUUGUGACCUCGAUGUUGGACUAGGUACUAUUAAGGCUAAUCGUUUUAAUAUAAUAUGUUCUGUUCGAACUUUAUUACCUACAUGAUCUGAGUUCAAACCGGAGCUC
This 453-nucleotide ribosomal RNA is filed under the name Albinaria schuchii. RNAcentral describes it as "partial 16S ribosomal RNA". It matches the Rfam family "Bacterial large subunit ribosomal RNA", at positions 1853 to 2624 of the family's 2925-position model. The record is from RNAcentral. Lineage: Eukaryota; Metazoa; Mollusca; Gastropoda; Stylommatophora; Clausiliidae.